Long non-coding RNA from Carassius carassius (crucian carp), 1718 nucleotides. RefSeq lists it as uncharacterized. The record is from RefSeq and is a predicted model, not a curated record. NCBI's taxonomy places the organism in Eukaryota, Metazoa, Chordata, Actinopteri, Cypriniformes, Cyprinidae. The transcript is spliced from 3 exons.
CUCUCACUCUAGGAGCUCAAGGCAGCCGAGACAUUCUUUGUCAUUAUUAUUUGAUUCCAUUCAUCAUCCCGGCCCACAACAAAGAACACUGCUAUGUACAAUUUAAAUAAAGUUUAGUGUGACACUCGCACUGACAAGCUGAAGUAUCCAUUCAAGAAGCAGCAGAAUAUGUGCAUGUCUAUGCAAAAUAAAGAUGAAUGCUGGGGGAAACAGACAGUGGGUGAUUAAGGUGCACAAGUUUGUGGCCGAUCUGUCAUGCUAUCCCUAUUGUCUUAUGAUACCUUAUCAUUAGUUUCCCUGACAAUGAUUUAGCAGUCAUUGUCGGGGAAGUAUUCCCCCUCAUUGCCUUGCACUGUGUUUAAACGUAACCUUCUUUCAGGAACAGCUGCCAUUCGUCACUUUUGACCUGUCAAGCAAGACAAAAUUGGACACUUCCAACCGUGGCCUUUUGUCCUGACACGGGCAGGCAGGUCGUGGCCUCGUGACUGUUAAAUAAGAACCAGGGGCAGGUCAGCGUGCAGGCCAAGGAACGGUUGAAAGCGAGCCCCCUGGUCCCUCUCUCUGGCAGCCAACAGCUGAUGCAGAAAGUCACCAUCCAUCUCUCGCAGGAUGUUAAUGAUGCAGCUUUUGGGAGGAGAGGAACUAAGACCUACUUUGCAGAUCAUCCGUGCCUAAAGCUGGGGGAAUAGUGUCUGGAGAAAGUCUAUCCUCCACAAAACCAGGAGAAAUAUUGUCUUUUAACAGCCACAUGAAAGGAGAGAUGCUGUGAGCCACUUCAACACGACAGAAUAGCCUGCAGGGAUUUAAACCGACUGAGAAGCGUCUCGGGCAGAUGCUGUCACGUACACCGUGCAAACUCACCGUUUAUGUGGGAAUUAUAAGCAAAUAGUUAUUAUUUUCAUGAAAUGGAGCAUUCCCAUUUUAACUAGGGCUAGAAAUGUUAAAAUAUUGAAAAAUCUAUUAAACAUUAAAUGUGGAAUACUUGCUACAUCUGUCUCCAGCUAAUUGAGAUGCUACCAAGAAUGUUAGGACUCAGGAGAAUAAUUUGUCGGUGCAAAAACAUGGAAUGGACCAAUUUAUUGCUCGCUGCAGGCUGCGGAGUUCCAACAGGCUUUGAUCAACCUUUUUAGGUCAGUAUCACUUGAAAUACAGAGAGGUCUCAGUAACCACAGAGAAAAUAUUUCAUCUUUCUCCUCUUUUUUUUCUUUUAAAGAAUGAAAGAGGGAAGUAUUUUUGUAGUCGUCUGGUUGGUUGUGAGGGAGAUGCUAAAUUCUUUAUGGCACAAGAAAACCAGGAUAGCGAGGUAGUUACUGCAGAUUCGCUGGUGUUGUUUAUUUGCUGGUAAUCAGUUAAACAUUUAUGAUAGCGAAUGCAAUUAUAAGUUUAGCUGCAACACCAUCAGAUUCUGUCCCCUUCUACAGAUCAAUGGAUCCACGGUUGUCAAUAGGCCUUUCCCACAAAGCUCAAACAAAGCUUGUGCUUAUAUCCUGAGAAUUUUAAAGUCAAAGCAAGGAAAUAUCAAACGGGAUGCACUGACAGCUCGCGCGUCCGAGUUGUGAUUCUGACAGACAGACAAACCGCUGAGCUGAUGGGAACAAACUGAGCUUUUUUUCUUGUUUUUUUUCCAAAUCUUGUUCGUAGGGGCUUUGUUCAUUUCCCUAUGUAUUUAUAUUCAUAUUUAUAUUUAAUUUUGCUUUCCAUUUGCCAUGUCAAGCCCU